Molecule: long non-coding RNA, 1661 nt
Organism: Ictalurus furcatus (blue catfish)
Lineage: Eukaryota; Metazoa; Chordata; Actinopteri; Siluriformes; Ictaluridae
Exons: 3
Source: RefSeq, a predicted model, not a curated record
GGUUCUUGGGCCGUAUUUACGUGUACACUGAUAUAUAUUUUCAGCGGUCGUGAUAUUAGACGUGAAGACUGAAAUCUGAUAUUUAUCAACAGCUCGACCGUGAAACUAUUAGUGUUGAGUAAUGUAUUAUAUCACAACGUCUCAUCGAUGAUCGUAAUAACAAUGAAGUGGAGCAAAUUAUUACUUACACACACACACACUUUAAGUCAGAUGUACAGCUGGAUCCAUGAUUUAUGUCUGUAUGGGGUCUGUAUGUAUUAGAACAGGGAAGUGCCUGAUGCGCUUGUGGCUUAUUUUGAAUUACUUAAAAGGUUCUUAUCCAUGAUGUUCGGAUGAUUUUUUUUUUUUUUAAACUUUAUUAAAUGCUGCUGGUUUUCUGCCCAGUUUUACUCCAGAUCCUGAGAGAGAGAGAGAGAGAGAGAGAGAGAGAGAGAUGCUCACCAUGCUGGGACACGGUCGUGUCGGUCACAUGAUGUUGCUCCUCUGCGCUUUUUCUUUGUGGGCUGAAACUGUGAUGUGUGGCUCCAGCUUCCUCAGUCCAACCCAAAAACCACAGAAUCGUGGAGACCGAAAGCCACCUCGGGUGGGACGGAGGACUGCAGCUGAACUCGAGGCUCCUCUUCCUUCCGAGGAGAAGAUCAUGGUAUGCGAACGUUCGGGCGAGAAAUAAAAGGAAGAAGUAAAUAAAUGACGUUCUGCUUCCGUCAGCGCUGCACGAACCCUCAGCCUCAUAAAAACACUGCGCGUGUAAACGUUCAAAUCCGACAUUUUAUUCAUCAAUUAACCUUCAGUUCAGUCAAUAAAAUACUUAGACUGAGAUAAAGCCAGCUGGAGAAUGCGGUGUGAGUUAGGGAGCGUCUACAAAGUGACACGUUUGAAGAAGAUGAAGAGAUCAGUGCCGUGUGAACUAGAUGACAGUAAUGAUGCACCUUUGAGAACCUCUGGACUUUGGAUGUAGAGUCAAAUGAUCACUCUUUACAACCACGGUGAGCAGAAGGUGGAAUGAACGAAUUAACUAUGGUGCAUAGAGAGCUACAGCUGCAUCAAAAAGUUUGCACCCCCAUGGUUUUUGAAUGGAUGAAAGGAAAAGCGUAUCUCUGUGUUAUAAACAUGUACAUCUGAAUACAGAUACAAAUACGAGGCCACUAUUAGAAAGGGUCUCAGGACAUCCAGAGACGUGCAUCUGGACUGGGAUCCCGACAAAUAAGUCGUGAGCGAGAGGGCAGAUAUGAAUCUUUCGGGACUCACAGCACUCACUCAUUUAUCCUCAGUAACCGCCUGAUCAGGGUCACGUUAGAUUCAAGAAACUGCUAGUUUCUUUAUAUUAAAAAAAAGAACUAAACUAAAUUCGUUAGAAAAUAUCACGAGCGGAGACCAGACUUCUCAGACCGUGCGGACAUUUGCGUUUCUUCCCCUGGGUUUUAACCUCGUGAACUGAUCAGUGGGAAUUGUCCUUACGGCUGUGCAGGUGAGCGCAACGUUCCAGCUGGCCGUGUCUCUCAGUGAUGCAGAAUACGAGGAUUAUGGUCCUGUGCUACAGAGGAUGUUACUGGAUGUCCUGGGUGAUCCGCCUACUUUGGACGGUGCAAACUAACAGCAUUUGAACUUAAAUGAUUCCUGAUUCAUAACCGCUCAAAUUAUUACAACAAACUGUGAAAUGU